UGUGAACCCCGUAGCUGAAAUGUCGUGAUGGUCGGGAAUGUAUCCCAAGUAGCACGGGGCCCGAGAAAUCCCGUGUGAAUCUGUCAGGACCACCUGAUAAGCCUAAAUACUCCCAGAUGACCGAUAGCGGACAAGUACCGUGAGGGAAAGGUGAAAAGCACCCCGGGAGGGGAGUGAAAUAGAACCUGAAACCGUGUGCCUACAACAAGUUCGAGCCCGUUAAUGGGUGAGAGCGUGCCUUUUGUAGAAUGAACCGGCGAGUUACGAUAUGAUGCGAGGUUAAGUUGAAGAGACGGAGCCGCAGGGAAACCGAGUCUGAAUAGGGCGCAUUAGUAUCAUGUCGUAGACCCGAAACCAUGUGACCUACCCAUGAGCAGGUUGAAGGUGCGGUAAGACGCACUGGAGGACCGAACCAGGGCACGUUAAAAAGUGCUUGGAUGACUUGUGGGUAGCGGAGAAAUUCCAAACGAACUUGGAGAUAGCUGGUUCUCUCCGAAAUAGCUUUAGGGCUAGCGUCGACAUAAAGAUUCUUGGAGGUAGAGCACUGUUUGGGUGAGGGGUCCAUCCCGGAUUACCAAUCUCAGAUAAACUCCGAAUGCCAAUGAAUUAUGGUCGGCAGUCAGACUGCGAGUGCUAAGAUCCGUAGUCGAAAGGGAAACAGCCCAGACCACCAGCUAAGGUCCCAAAAUAAUUGUUAAGUGGAAAAGGAUGUGGGGUUGCACAGACAACUAGGAUGUUAGCUUAGAAGCAGCUAUUCAUUCAAAGAGUGCGUAAUAGCUCACUAGUCGAGUGACACUGCGCCGAAAAUGUACCGGGGCUAAAACAAUUUACCGAAGCUGUGGAUACCUUUAUAGGUAUGGUAGGAGAGCGUUCUAUGUGUGAUGAAGGUAUACCGUGAGGAGUGCUGGAACGCAUAGAAGUGAGAAUGCCGGUAUGAGUAGCGAAAGACAGGUGAGAAUCCUGUCCACCGUAAGACUAAGGUUUCCAGGGGAAGGCUCGUCCGCCCUGGGUUAGUCGGGACCUAAGGAGAGACCGAAAGGUGUAUCCGAUGGACAACAGGUUGAUAUUCCUGUACUAGAGUAUGUAGUGAUGGAGGGACGCAGUAGGCUAACUAAAGCAGACGAAUGGAAGAGUCUGUCUAAGCAGUGAGGUGUGAAUUGAGUCAAAUGCUUAAUUCUAUAACAUUGAGCUGUGAUGGGGAGCGAAGUUUAGUAGCGAAGUUAGUGACGUCACACUGCCAAGAAAAGCUUCUAGCGUUUAAACAUACUCUACCCGUACCGCAAACCGACACAGGUAGUCGAGGCGAGUAGCCUCAGGUGAGCGAGAGAACUCUCGUUAAGGAACUCGGCAAAAUGACCCCGUAACUUCGGGAGAAGGGGUGCUCUUUAGGGUUCACGCCCAGAAGAGCCGCAGUGAAUAGGCCCAAGCGACUGUUUAUCAAAAACACAGGU
Molecule: ribosomal RNA, 1451 nt
Filed under: Skeletonema menzelii
Lineage: Eukaryota; Bacillariophyta; Thalassiosirophyceae; Thalassiosirales; Thalassiosiraceae
Description: partial Bacterial large subunit ribosomal RNA
Rfam family: Bacterial large subunit ribosomal RNA
Source: RNAcentral